This 254-nucleotide ribosomal RNA is filed under the name uncultured bacterium. RNAcentral's name for it is "partial 16S ribosomal RNA". It matches the Rfam family "Bacterial small subunit ribosomal RNA", at positions 524 to 776 of the family's 1533-position model. The record is from RNAcentral.
AACGUAGGACGCAAGCGUUAUCCGGAGUUACUGGGCGUAAAGGGCAGGCAGGCGGGUCGAUAAGUCGGCUGUGAAAUCUCCCUGGCUUAACCGGGAGAGUGCAUUUGAGACUGUCAACCUGGAGGGCAGCAGAGGAGCGUGGAAUUCCGGGUGGAGUGGUGAAAUGCGUAGAGAUCCGGAGGAACACCAGAGGCGAAAGCGGCGCUCUGGGCUGCACCUGACGCUGAACUGCGAAAGCCAGGGGAGCGAACGGG